RNAcentral lists this non-coding RNA (129 nucleotides) under Sporosarcina sp. The record is from RNAcentral. Lineage: Bacteria; Bacillati; Bacillota; Bacilli; Caryophanales; Caryophanaceae.
UUACAUAUCUUUCGAAAAGGUUCUCUUUCCUAGAGAUGAAAAUGGAAAUCGGUUAAAAUCCGAUGCGGUCCCGCCACUGUAAGUGCACUGUGCACAAGCCAGGUCACCUGCCUUUAAGAAAAGAAGUUC